This 708-nucleotide long non-coding RNA is filed under the name Chinchilla lanigera (long-tailed chinchilla). Its description in RNAcentral is "lncRNA (ENSCLAG00000025654.1)". Lineage: Eukaryota; Metazoa; Chordata; Mammalia; Rodentia; Chinchillidae. The record is from RNAcentral.
UUCAAAUUCAUCUUUAAUAUGUAACCCAUGAGUGGAAAGAAACCCUCAGUUUAAUGGACUUUUCUCUGAGAACUUUUCUAAAUAUCUAGCCCUUGUGACAAUUAAAGUUAAAGGUUCAUUUUCUGAAUGUCCUCAGAAAAGGGUACCUAUUUUGGAGGAGUCUAGUCACUAAUUCCCCUGUUUUGUCACUUUAAGUUUUCUCCCUCACACUAAACUGCAAACUGCUUGAGGGUAGGGAGAGUCUAUUGAUCAGCACAGGGUACAUAAGGUUCUUUGAAUAAAAGAAUAGAUGAAGAUGAACCAUUCACUGAAGAUUCUCAACCAGGAGCAGUUCUUCCUCCAGGAGCCAUCAAGUGGUGCGGUGUCUUUCUGGCCCAUUCCUUCUGAGGAGAAAUAUGUUCAUGCUGCAAGAGCUGCCUUGCACAGCUUGGAAAGCCCUUUGGAGAUGGCAUUGAAGGUGAAUUUCACUGCAGAGGAAUUUCUUGACUUGCAUCAGACUCUUUGAAAGAUCCCUGACCAAGGCUUGGAAAUGUACUGCUCCAGGGACCACUGACUCUCCACAACUGAUCAGAGCUGGUAGCUCCCCAGAACUGGGCAUCAUGGUGGUACUGCCUUGAUUCCAAGCAGUUGGAGAAUGUUGACCCUGCCUCUGUGUUCCUGCCUCUCCACUGUUCUGCAAUCCCGGAUCACUUUCUGUGCCUUCUGAAU